RNAcentral lists this long non-coding RNA (562 nucleotides) under Homo sapiens (human). RNAcentral's name for it is "HSALNT0365517". Lineage: Eukaryota; Metazoa; Chordata; Mammalia; Primates; Hominidae. The record is from RNAcentral.
UUUCCCCCAGCAGUGGAGAAGGCAAUCUGAGAUGCUGCUGGUUCCAAGGCUUUAGAAGAAGAGAGAGAGGAUUUUCCCUUGCAUUCUUAAUCCAGUUUUAUCAUUAAUGAUACUAACAUUUUGAUCCAGUUGGAUCUUUAUUUCUAUUCAUCAAUAUUUGGUACACAGAGACGAGGAAGUGGGCAGAAAGGUGACUGAUUAGGCUCCCUCAGCGUACGUUAUCACAUCAUUCUAUUCCCAGGUUGCUAUGGUGCUUCCUAUAAUCCAAGUUGCUUAUAGACAGUGUGCAUGGAGCUUUCUCAACCUGCCUUGCUCACCUCUUUGCUUUCUCAACCUGCAUUGCUCAACCUGCAGUCUGCAACUCUUUGUGGCCAUGGACAGAAGCUCAGACCGAGAGCUCUCUGCGAUUCUGUGAUUCAGAGACCGAACUUGUGUGUGACCAUCUCCUUGAACUCCUUGAUUUCUAGCCUGAGAAAUGAAAGUGUGAAACAAGCUUCACAUAAAAUAUUUAAAGAACAAACUUUAUUCAUGAAAAUAAAUGAGAAGAUGAUGAACUUCUAAA